This 110-nucleotide non-coding RNA is filed under the name Paramoeba aestuarina. The record is from RNAcentral. Lineage: Eukaryota; Discosea; Flabellinia; Dactylopodida; Paramoebidae.
AGAAAUGGAAGGAGAAAAGAGAAGAGAAAAAGUAAGAAAUGAAAAAGAAGAAGAGACAAAAAUAGCAAAAACCUCUUCCCUUCCCUCUCUUCUCCCUUUUGCUCUCAUUC